RNAcentral lists this long non-coding RNA (8464 nucleotides) under Sus scrofa (pig). Its description in RNAcentral is "lncRNA (ENSSSCG00005021894.1)". Lineage: Eukaryota; Metazoa; Chordata; Mammalia; Artiodactyla; Suidae. The record is from RNAcentral.
UUUUUUUUUUUUUGACAGUGAAGGUGGGAACCAGGGAACUCAAGGUCUCAGGGACCAAGAGCACUGCCUCAAGAAACCACACGCUUUUAUUGUGCUCUUUAGAUGAGAUCAAGUGAGGAGGGGUUAUGGGUGGAGGAUAUAUGGUUUGUUUACUAUUUUAUAAGUUCUUUUACUAUUUUAAAGAGAUAUAUUCUUUAAAAAAAAUUCACCCUCAUUAUCAGUGAAUCUGUUUUAGGAGUGAUAUGUCCCUGAAGGACAAGAUUCCAUUUGUUCCCUGGUAAUAGAAGUGCUCACGAUCAUGUGAACUCUGCUCUUGAAUAUUCAAUCUUAAAAAUGCUGUAUCAGCCAUCCCCUAUUUUACAAUAGCUCUAAAUAUUGAGGACACAAUAAAUUUAGAAGGGCAAUAAAAUAGUCUUUAUGGUAGGCAAAACAUAGCUACUCAGUAAAUAUUUGACUACUUUCUCUACUGAUUACUGAGCUGCAAUUCUCCAUGAGUGUCUUGCAUUUCUGCAGGUCUUUGGAGCAGAGGCACUGAGUACCUUUAUUUCAGAGUAUCUUGUCAAGGAUAUUUGUAGUGAACUGCUUUGGAAGAUAUAGUAUCUCCCUCUGGAGCAAAAGGUGGUUUUGUUUCCUAUCUGGUAAUGUAAAGAUGCUGUCUCUUUCUGGAGCAAAAGGUCUGGGAGACUUAACUGCCCAUUAUAAAAGAUUUGGGUUCCGUCGCUCCUGUGACACACUCAGUGUAUGUGUCAGUGUCAUUUACUCCGUGGGAACUGGAGCCUGGGAAACUAAAAAAAAAAAAAAAACGGGAAAAAAAAAAAAAAAAAAAAAAAAAAAAAGAUGCUGUUAUUCCAGCUACUGUUAUGGAUGUGAGUAACAAACUGUCUUUUGUUUCUGAUCCAGGAGUGGCAUAUCUCUGCCAGAAACCCUGGCAGGAUAACUUGUUAGCUUGCAGGUUUGGUAAAAUCUCAGACCCUUCACAUUUCUUGACAUACUCUUCAUUUUCCAUGAAGAUUAUAACAACAUAAACCUUACUUCAUUUCUGAUGCAUUAUGCAUGUGCUUCAUUUAUUAUAUUCUCAAAAGAAGGUCAAAAUGUCUACCUACGAGGGCUGGCAGUUCCUUUUUUAGACCAGUUGCUCCCUCGUACCAGAUGAAUUAGCUGAAACUCUUGGUUUCAAGUUUGCAGAAACUAAUCAAAGAAAAACGUCCUUAUUUAUAUAUGUAGGAAAUAUACACCUAGAAAGGUGUUGGGAUAGCGCCUGUAGGAACCAGCAGUUGAAGAACGAGGACUGAACGCUCAGCAUGUGUCUGUCCUCUGCUUUUUUCUGGUUCUCCUUCUAUGUUGAUGCAGUGUUCUCCUCCUUUCCAUGGCAGGAGGGACAUUGCAAUGGCAACCUUAGCUUAGCAACCUGAGAAGAAAGGAGAAUUUGCCCAUAUUGAUUUUGGGAUGUGUUGUAAUAUGUACUCCUAUAGCUAUUAGAAAUACAUGCUGAGACUGAGGUCCAUUGAAGGAGGAGAGGCUGAAUAGACAGAAUAACCUAUUCAAACUCAAGAGUGGGUUUACUCCUGGUGAGUUAGUGCCAGCUGAGCUUUGCCUGGAAAUAGCUAUGUAGAGCCUAUUGGACGGAUGGAUGUAGCAGCAAUUGCAAGUCACCUAGAAAUGAUAAAGGACCUUAGGGCACUGGGAUGUCACAUUAGCAUUAAAUAAUAUAGUGAUGUACUAUGUGAAAUUUUUUUUUUUUUGACUGGCCUGCAGCAUACAGCAGUUCCCAGACCAGAGAUGGAAUCUGAGUCACAGCAGUGAUAGCACCAAAUCUUUAAUUGCUAGGCCACCAGGGAACUCCUGAAAGAUUUUAUUUUAGCUUUCAACAUAUAGUGUUUAGUUGUUUAGCAUCUUCCUAAGGGCAUCAGAUGAUAUUACUAUGCUUAUUUUACUUUUUGGAUAAAUUAUCCACAUUAUAAAGAAUUUAGUAACCUGGAAAAAGACCACAGAGCAAGUCAAGGGAAAGCAAAGGAUGAGUAUCCAUAAUUUCUAGUUUCUGAUGCUGUACUUGUUCAAUUAAGCCAAAUGGCUUUGGCAUUAGAAUCCUAAAGCUUAAGGACUGAGUGUCAGAAAAGUAUACACCACCUCUUCUUUCCUGGGAUGGUGAUUUUUUCUCCUUCUUUAUCUUCUUUUGCUUCCUCUUCUUCCUCUUCCUCUUCCUUCUUCUUCUUCUAAAUAGUAUUGGUACCUGGUAAAUAUAAUAAAAAAAAAAGAAUCCAAUUAUUUCAUCUAUCAUUUUGCCCUCAAGAUAGAUGACCUCAAAAUUCAGAAACUACGUGAAAGUGGUGAUAGAUGAGCUUUUGAAUUUUGUGCCCAUAUUUAUAGAAUUUUGUUGUUAUUCUGUGAUACAUUUGCAUUAAUAUAUGCUAAGGGUGGAUGAAAUGCUGUAAAUUAAUCUUUUCAGGUGAUUUUUAAUAUCAGUGUGAGAACUGACACACAAGACAAUUCGGAUUGUUAUAGCUUGUUUUUAAUUUUCAGCUGUGCAUAUGACUUGGCUUUUUUUUUUUUUUUUUUUUUUGGCCACUUGGCUUUGUGCAAAUAUUUACAUCUCAAUGACUACAUACUUCAUAGCUGAGUCAAAAAGAGAAAACCGAUCAAGUUACUGUGUGAUGUAUCUUAAAAAUAUGGCAACACAGAGGAAUUUAGUGUUGUUCUGGAGCUAGUGCUCACUGACUCAUGAGAACCAACCUUAACAUCUCCUUCAGUAUUGGCAAAAGAAUGGACCUCCAAUGAUGUUCACAUCCUAAUCCCUGGGACCUAUGAAUACCUUAUGCAGUAAUAAGCAAAAGAAGUUCUGCAGGAGCAAUUAAUGUAAAGGAUCUUGAAGUGGAGAAAUUAUCCUGGAUUAUCCAGUGGGUCCAGUCUAGUCACAUGAAUUCUUAAAAACAGAGAACCAAUCCUAGCUUAAGGUCAGAGAGAGCGAUGAUGGAAAGAAGGUCAGGAGAUGUGGUUGUGAAAAUGACUUGACCCUCCAUUGCUGGCUUUGACGGUAGAGAAGGGGGGCCAAGGAAAGUGGGUGGCCCCAAGAAGCUGGGAAGGGCAAAGGAACAGAUUCUCCCCUUGGGAUUCCAGAAAAGUAUGAAACCCUUUUGACACCUUGAUUUAACCUGGUGAGCUGUAUGUAGGUCAGACUCCCAGCACACAGAACCAUAAGGUAAUAUACUUGUGUUGUUUUGAACCACUAAGUUUGUACUAUGGCAGCACAACACUAAGUUUUAAUGGCAGCAAUGGAAAACUAACGGCAAUACCUCCCAACUCUACAUUUGGUUACAUCACCCUGCUAUCUUAAAAUCAGCCAUGGUGGGGUUAUUUACAUUGCUGAAAUACUACAAAAUAGCAAUUUAUUUUUUUCCUGAGAGCUAGUUGUUCAGAAUUUUACAGCACACCACUGGAAAUAAUUCCUCUUCGUUAAGGUUACUCGAGCAAAGUGAGUUGAAUAAGUGUCUAACUCAAUUACUUUGGGAAAUCAACUUGUAAUUUGAGGAGGAAAAUGCCGUUCAUUAAUAUAAGGCGGUGGUGAGGGUUACACCUUGUAGCCUGGGGGAGGGAGGUGGUAGGAGAGUGGUGAUGGGUCAGGAAAGGGACACUAACUAAAACCUUACUUCAUUUUACUUCUGUUAACAAGCUUGAAAGGUCUAAAUUCAUUUUCAGGAAUUUGUUAACUUUUGUUAAUAACACAGGAAUUUUGGAAAAGCCAAGAUAAUGUGGGACUUAGGCAACUCCCAGGAAGUUGCCCUGAUCAUGUUACAUACCUGAUGUUUGAAUUUCUUGCCAAAUGGCUUCCUGUUCUUUACGUGAACACCAUAAGUGAAUGGAAAUCAAAGUUGUUUUACAGCUUUGAAUAGCUGUGAUUAGUCGAUAGUUUUGUUUUAUACUGAGCUAUCAUCUGAUUCAGUUUAACUUUAGAAAUAGGCUCAGUCUUGCCCUCUGAGACUAUGUACAUCCAAUCUAAAGCCAAUCCAUAGUCACAGAAUAUAGUAGAAUGAUUAUUUGUUCAGUACAUCAUACUUUAGUUAAUGAAGACCCAGGUUCAAGGAGCUUUUCUUGGAAUGUUCCAUCACACUGUCAACUAGGUAGCUAGAAAAAGUGCAAGAUAAGGAAUCAAGAGACCUGAAAUCAAAGGGGUCAGCCACAGUGCUAUCUAGUGACCUAAGACACUUCAAUAGCCAAUAUAUACUGAAUGUAGGCUGGGUUCUAGGUACUAUACUAAGCUCUCUGGAUACAGUGAGGAGCAAACAACGAUCCCACCUUAUGAAGAGCUUACAUUCUAAUGGGAGGGAGACAGACAUUAAGGGGUAAGCCUGAUGAAUUACAUGCCUUGAAGGUAAUAGAGCCCUGAAACAAAAGGAGUAAUGGCAGAGGAUAAAGAGUGAUUCAGAGUGCUGAAAGGAAGGGUGAUUUGAGUGGCAAUCUGAAAUAGGAAGGUCUGGGUAGGCUUCAUUGAGAUGAUGAUAUUUGAGUGAUAAUGUGAAGAAGGUGAGGGAGUCAGACCUGUGGAUAUGGUGGAGAAAGUGCUCCAGGGGGAGGGACCAUUCAGUGUAAAGGCUCUAAGGUGGGAGUAUUCCAUUUUCUUAUGUUAAUUUUGGAUGUAUAUAGCUUUCCCAUUCUUUUACUUUUAACCUAUUUGUAUCAUUACAUUUAUUUAUUUUAAAUUUUUAAAUUAAAAUAUAGUUGGUUUACGAUGUUGUGCCAAUUUUUGCUAUACAGCAAAGUGACCCAGUCAUACAUAUAUAUUAUGUAUGACUUUCUUAUAUUAUCUUCCAUCAUGGUCUAUCCCAAGAGACUGGAUAUAGCUCCCUGUGCUAUAUGCAGGACCUCACUGUUUAUCCAUUCUGAAUGUAAUAGUUUACAUCUACUAACCCCAAACUCCCAGUCCAUCCCUCUCUCUCUGCCCUCCCCCCUUGGCAACCAUGAGUCUGUUCUCUAUGUCUAUGAGUCUGUUUCUGUUUUGUAGAUAAGUUCAUUUGUGCCAUUUAAAAAAAAAUUCUUUUUAGGGCCGCACCUGUGGCACAUGGAAGUUCCCUGGAUAAGGGUGGAAUUAGAAUUGCAGCUGCAGGCCUACACCACAGCCACAGCAACACGGGAUCUGAGCCACACCUGUGACCUAUGCCAUAGCCCAUGACAAUGUUGGAUUCUUUAACCCACUGAGCAAGGCCAGGAAUCGAACCCACAUCCUCAUGGAUGCUUGUUGGGUUCUUAACCUGCUGAGCCACAACUGGAACUCCUGUGCCAUAUUUUAGAUUCCACAUAUAAAUGAUGUCAUAUGGUAUUUGUCUUCCUCUUUCUGACUUACUUCACUUAGUAUGUUCUAGUUGCAUCCAUGUUGCUGUAAAUGGCAUUAUUUAAUUCUUUUUUAUGGCUGAGUAGUAUUCCAUUGGAUAUAUUAUUUUUACCAUAUUUAAAAGGGAAUUUUGGUGUAGACGGUCUUAUUUUGUUAUCUAAUCUAACAAUACCUGCAUUGCAUUUUAAUUGGAGUUUUAAGAUUAUUUAUAUUUAAAUAAUUAGCAGUAUGGCUGAAUUUAAAUUUACCAUCCUUUUAUUUGCUCCUCUUAUCUUCUUUAAACAUUUCAUUUCCUGAAGUCUUUUGGAUUGAGCAUUUUAAAAUAUAGUAUAUUUUACAUUUACUAUUAACUUAUUUUCACUACUUUAAUUUUAUUAUAAUUGCUAGAGUUUACCAUAUGGAUCUUUAUUUUUCUUUUAAGUAAUUUUAAAAUAAGGGAAACUAUUUUGUAUUUCUCUAUGUUUUUAUUUUUUAUUUUUGGCAUUUUUCAUUCCUCUGUAUAGGUUCAAGUUUCAUCAGAAAUCUUUUUUUUUCCCUUGAAGAACUUUCUUUAACAUUCUUUAUAGUGUAGUUUUUCUGAUGUAAAUUCCUUCAGCUUUUAGUUUUCUGAGAAAGUUUAUUUCAUCUUUAGUUUUGAGUGCUAUUUUGGUAGAUAUAAUAGGCUAAAUUGACAGUAUUUUCCUUCAGCACUUUAAAGAUCUUAUUUCACUUUUUUCUGGCCAGCAUAGUUUCAGACAAGAAGUCUAUAUCAUCUUUAUUUUUGUUUUCUCUGAAUGUAAUACAGCUUUUUUCUUUGGCUUUCUUUAAAGUUCUGAAUCAUCACUGGUUUUUAGAAAUUUUAUUGUUUUAUUUCUUGGUAUGUUUUUUAUUUAUGUUUAUUCUGCUUGAGUUUUAUUGAGGCUAGUGGAUCUUUGGGCUUAUAAUUGUACAAAAACCUUAAAACAUUUGCUAUGAUUUCUUUAAACAUUUUAAUACAUAUAUUAUAUUGCUUGAUAUUAUCCACAAGUCUCUAAGGCUGUCAUUUUUUUGUCUUUUUUUUUUUUGCUUUUUGUGAUUUAUUAUAGUUUCAAUUGCUAAGUCUUUAAGAUCACUGAUGUUUUCUUCUACAGUAUCAAUUAUGCUAUUAAUUAAAGUCAGUGAAAAACAUUUUUCUAUAUAUGUAUAUUUUACACCUUCAAAAUUUCCAUUUGGUUCUAUUUUAUACUUUCAUAUAUCUCAUCAUUAUGCUUAUAUUUUUGUUUAAGUCUUUGGGUAAAUUCAGCAUACUUACAAAAUCUUUUUUUGAAAUCUUUGUUAAUUCUAUUCAUCUGUAAUUUCUAGAUCUAUUUCUAUAGUGUGAUAUUUUUCUUAUCAUUAUAGGUCACAUUUUCUUGCCUCCUCAUCUAUCUAAUAAUCAUGUGUUUACUUUGAGUGCUGGAUUUUGUUAUCUUCCUUUAAAGACUCUUGGAUUUUGUUAUGGGUGGUGGUGAAGUGACUUUCAGAUUAGACUGAUUCCUUUGAGGCUUUUUUAAAAAGCCCUUUAAGACACAAAUCUAGAGUAACCAUUAUUCUAGGAAAAAAAUUUAGCCCUGCUGCUGGGUUGUGAUCCUUCUAUAGUCUGUGUUCAGUGAGGUUUUUCCAUUCUAACUGGAGGGAACUUGAACAAUUCCAAGCCAUGUGUGAACUCUGGGAAUGGUUUGGCUUACAAUUCUCCAACAGUUUGUUCUUUACCUAGAACUUGUUUUUGCCUGGCCUUGUGGAGUUUCACCUUCCAUGUGAUUUUAAAAAAAAAAGACUCAAGGAGGUCCCUGUACAGAUCUGUGCUUUCCCUAUGAAGUCUUUUCUCUCUGGUACCCCUUGCCUCCCCCCAAAUUCUGGCUGACUCUGCUGUUCUAAAUUCCCAUCUCUGCCAUCUCAACUCAGCGAUACUGCCAAUUUGGGUUGUCCUCCUUGUGCCAUGGUCUAGACAUUGUCUUCAACUGGAAGGAAAGAUUAUGAAAGAGGAGACAGUCCUUAGGGAGUUUAUUUUUACCCCUCCUUUAUUGAGAUAUUAUUGACAUAUAACAUAUGUAAGUUUAAAGUGUACACCAUGAUCAUUCAAUGCGUGUAUCUAUUGUGAAAUAUUUACCACAGUAAGGUGAGUUAAUACCUCUACCCUCCAAUAUAAUUACCACUUUUUUGAUGAUAACAUUUCAGAUCUCUCUCUUAAUAACUUUCAGUUAUAUAAUAACAUAUUGUUAAUGAUAGUCACCAUGCUAUACAUUAGAUCCCCAGAACUUAUUCAUCUUAGAGCUAGAAGUUUUCCUCAUUUCCCAUUUUCCUCACCCCCAUGUCCCUGGUGACCACCAUUCUACUCUUAAUUUCUGAAUGAAAUGAUUUUAGAUUCUCUGUAUAAGUAACAACAUAGAGUAUGUGUCUUCUCUGUCUGACUUAUUUCACCUGGUGUAACGCCCUCAAGUCUUGUCCACGUUCUUCAUGUUCCUUCUUUUUUUAUGGCUGAAUGAUACUCUGUUCUACCAACAUAAGGAAGUUCACGUCUAUGGUUAGUUUUGUAACAGUAAAGAAAAACACAAAACAAGCAGUAUUGAAAUGUAUAAAGCUUUUUAAGCACCCUAACCUUAACCUUUACUACUUUGUUCAAGAUGGGUGGUAGAGAGCAGUAAAAAGAAGCUUGUCAGGAAUCAGAAGCACCGAGAAGCUGUCCUGACCUUUGCAUGAAACAUUAUGCCACUAAUUUCCCCCAUGUCUCUCAAUAGUCUGUAAAAGUAAUUUUUAAUACAAUUUUAUAUUAAAAUUGUAUUUCAAUACAAUUGUGCAACAUAUCAAAAAAAAGCUAGAGUGUAUACACAUCUCUUAUAUUUGAUAAUUCUAAAUGUUUCUUUGUAUUAAAAAACUAUUAAUGACUUUAUAAUUUAGAGCAUUUUAGUAAGUGUGCCCCCCAAAUCCUGCCUUUGUUAUAUUGAAAAAUUCUAAUAAUAGGGCCAUAAUUAUUAUUAUAAAAAUAGUAUCUCAAAAUUAAGGAUUAUGUGUAUUUUAGGACUAUAAACUGGUAUGGAAAUAUAUUAAGGGAGAGAGUAAAAGCUGGGCCUCCGUAAGGCUUUAACCUGGAAAAUAAUUGCUGUGAAAUGUUCAAAAUUCAAUUCAAUAAAAAAAUUCACCUAU